This 492-nucleotide ribosomal RNA is filed under the name uncultured bacterium. Its description in RNAcentral is "partial 16S ribosomal RNA". It matches the Rfam family "Bacterial small subunit ribosomal RNA", at positions 29 to 507 of the family's 1533-position model. The record is from RNAcentral.
AGUGAACGCUGGCGGUAGGCCUAACACAUGCAAGUCGAACGGCAGCACAGUAAGAGCUUGCUCUUACGGGUGGCGAGUGGCGGACGGGUGAGGAACACAUCGGAAUCUACUUUUUCGUGGGGGAUAACGUAGGGAAACUUACGCUAAUACCGCAUACGACCUACGGGUGAAAGCAGGGGAUCUUCGGACCUUGCGCGAUUGAAUGAGCCGAUGUCGGAUUAGCUAGUUGGCGGGGUAAAGGCCCACCAAGGCGACGAUCCGUAGCUGGUCUGAGAGGAUGAUCAGCCACACUGGAACUGAGACACGGUCCAGACUCCUACGGGAGGCAGCAGUGGGGAAUAUUGGACAAAGGGCGCAAGCCUGAUCCAGCCAUACCGCGUGGGUGAAGAAGGCCUUUGGGUUGUAAAGCCCUUUUGUUGGGAAAGAAAAGCAGCAGGUUAAUACCCCGCUGUUCUGACGGUACCCAAAGAAUAAGCACCGGCUAACUUCGUG